AGAGUUUGAUCAUGGCUCAGAUUGAACGCUGGCGGCAGGCCUAACACAUGCAAGUCGAGCGGAUGACGGGAGCUUGCUCCUGGAUUCAGCGGCGGACGGGUGAGUAAUGCCUAGGAAUCUGCCUGGUAGUGGGGGACAACGUUUCGAAAGGAACGCUAAUUCCGCAUACGUCCUACGGGAGAAAGCAGGGGACCUUCGGGCCUUGCGCUAUCAGAUGAGCCUAGGUCGGAUUUGCUUGUUGAUGAGGUAAUGGCUCUUCAACGGGACGCUCCUUAGCCCAUGUUUGCGGAUUCUCUGUCCCUCGUUUUCCGGGAC
RNAcentral lists this ribosomal RNA (315 nucleotides) under uncultured bacterium. RNAcentral describes it as "bacterial SSU rRNA". It matches the Rfam family "Bacterial small subunit ribosomal RNA", at positions 8 to 325 of the family's 1533-position model. The record is from RNAcentral.